CUAUUUCUUCUUGUUCCCUGUCAGAGCAUCAAAGGGGUGGUGUGUCUCAUGCCGUUGCUUUGCAGCCAUCUGAACCUAUUCCCUGUGCUCUGUAGAUGAACCUGUAUACCCAAACCCGUUACCCUAAUGCCUGUGUCUGCUCAUUUGAUCUUCAACCUGAUUGUUUGGACUUUUGUCUCCUGCCUCCAUUUUGAAGUUUUUUGUCUGUUUUGCAUUGCCUCUCUGGUUUUGACCCUUGCCUCCUUCAUGGUCCUGUAAGCCUGGAACCUUAUUUUUGUAAAGACGUCAUUGAACUGUUCUCUCUUUAUUCCAGUCCCUGUUGCCCCACUCGGACCAGCAGUGAUAACUAGUUCUGACAUUUUAGAAAAAGAAACAACAAAAACAAACAAUAAGAAAGAUUAUAUGAAAGCAAAGGAAAUUAUCAAAAACCAUUAUUUUUCUGAAACAGUUUGUCAGCAUUGUGGUAGAUUUGAUAUAAACAUACUGUUACCUCUGUAGCCUGUCAGUGUGGUUUUCCUGAGAACAACCUCUGCAAAAUGACAUCAGCAUGUAAAAGUUGUCACGUAGUCAAACACAAGUGUCGUCCUUAAAGGACUGUGGGACAUUCACAUUAUUCUGCUUCAUCAUGGCUGGACACCUGCUGUUAGUCGUCCUCAUGUAUUCUUGUUCUGAGAUGAAAGCACAAGUUCUUCUUCCACCUAAACUGACGGUGAAUCCAUCGGUGAUCACAGACACAGACUCAGUCACAUUGGACUGUCAGCCUCCACCAUCUGUUUCUGUGUCUCAGUGUUAUUUCAGCACUGUAAGAGUAAGACCGGCCAUAAGCUUCUCUUGUCUGCAGACACUGACAGGAACUGAACUGCUCAAGAUGUCAAAUCAAAGUUCACCUGCUGAGGUUGAAGUGAAAUGCUCUUACCUUAAGGUGUCUCAAUCUCCUGAGAGUGAAACAACGUCCAUCACCAUCCGAACAUCUCUUCCACCUAAACUGACAGUGAAUCCACCAGUGAUCAACGAGAGAGACUCAGUCACAUUGAACUGUCAGACUCCACCAUCCUUUUCUGUGACUCAGUGUCAUUUCUACAUUUCAAGUGGAGGAACUGUCAGAGACUCCUCUUGUCUGCAGACACUGACAGGAACUGAACUGCUGAAGACGUCACCUCAGAGUUCACCUUCUGAGGUUGAAGUGAUGUGUUUUUAUACGGUAAAGCUUGGAGAAAAAGAUUCUCCAUCUCCAUACAGUGGCACUUCCCGCAUUACCAUACACGGUGAGUGAAUGCUUUUUUGAUUUGGUAUCAUAACAAGAAAAGGGGAGAAGUGAAUUUGUCUUUAGGGCUUAUAAACCAAAACAAGGAGAGAAAGACUAAUUUAAGAACUUCUGUUCUCAUAAAAUGCCGCCUGCUUUUUUAAUGUUAAUUGUAUUUUGAGCAACGAUAGAUUUAAU
This 1441-nucleotide long non-coding RNA is filed under the name Dicentrarchus labrax (European seabass). RNAcentral describes it as "lncRNA (ENSDLAG00005026484.1)". The record is from RNAcentral. Lineage: Eukaryota; Metazoa; Chordata; Actinopteri; Moronidae.